Molecule: long non-coding RNA, 159 nt
Filed under: Zonotrichia albicollis (white-throated sparrow)
Lineage: Eukaryota; Metazoa; Chordata; Aves; Passeriformes; Passerellidae
Description: lncRNA (ENSZALG00000012938.1)
Source: RNAcentral
AUUAUGAGUGUGACAGGCUGUGCUCAGGGAACCAUAGCGCUCCAGAGCUGUUUGGGAGAUUUUCUCCUGGCUGGGAAAUACUUUUUGAAAGUCACUUUCUCCACUAGAAGAUAUAUCAGGGUGCUUUACACAUCCUCUGACCCAUUAAAAUCAAUCUGA